Molecule: long non-coding RNA, 688 nt
Filed under: Homo sapiens (human)
Lineage: Eukaryota; Metazoa; Chordata; Mammalia; Primates; Hominidae
Description: HSALNT0345852
Source: RNAcentral
GCUGGCUCUGCCCAUGUUGGGGGAGUGUCUCUUAAUUGCCGGCCAAGCAGUCUGAAAUAAACUUAGCAACUCAUCUUGUUUAAGGGGCGUGGAACGGGGGGAGUGCGAUGCGAGUGAGAGGAGCGACCGCGACUGCACACCUGCUGUAUACCAGGCCUCGUAUCUCAUUUAGCCUCAAAACAACCCUGUGUGUUAAGUAUUCUCACCCUAAUCUUGAAGAUCUGGGAACUGAUAAUUAGGGUAACUGAUCCUCCGAAACGACUGCUAAGCACAGGCUCGAGGCAGUAACUUCCAUGCACGUAUCUGUGGAAAAAUGCCACGUGUACAUGAAGCUGGCCAUCUACAACCCAGGAGAGAGGCCUGAAACAAUCUUUCCUCACAGUCAUCAGAACUGGAACCAACACUGCCCACACCUUGAACACAGGCUUCCAGCGUCCAGGACUGUGAGACAGCACACGUCUGCUGAUUUAGCCCCCUAGCUUAUGGCACUUUCUGACAGCAGCGCUAGCUAACCAAUACACUCCCUGCUAAAUGUACUUUUCCAUUUGUGCCCCACCAGGGUUUGCAGACAAGCAAAAUUGUCAUAGUUCCCUAACGCCUCAGAAUGUUUUCUUCCUGGAUCACUUUUUAUAAUUAUUACUUACAGUGAGGGAAAACUGAAAUAUUGCAAUGCCAUCCACAAUUAGGA